AUUGAACGCUGGCGGCAGGCCUAACACAUGCAAGUCGAACGAGUGGCGGACGGGUGAGUAAUGUGUGGGACACUGCCCGAUGGAGGGGGAUAACUACUGGAAACGGUAGCUAAUCCCGCAUACCAUCGGAUGUGCCCAGGUGGGAUUAGCGAGUAGGUGGGGUAACGGCUCACCUAGGCGACGAUCCCUAGCUCGUCUGAGAGGAUGACCAGCCACACUGGAACUGAGACACGGUCCAGACUCCUACGGGAGGCAGCAGUGGGGAAUAUUGCACAAUGGGCGCAAGCCUGAUGCAGCCAUGCCGCGUGUAUGAAGAAGGCCUUCGGGUUGUAAAGUACUUUCAGCGAGGAGGCGUUACCCGCAGAAGAAGCACCGGCUAACUCCGUGCCAGCAGCCGCGGUAAUUC
Molecule: ribosomal RNA, 406 nt
Filed under: uncultured bacterium
Lineage: Bacteria
Description: partial 16S ribosomal RNA
Rfam family: Bacterial small subunit ribosomal RNA
Source: RNAcentral